GAACAAAAAAUAUUUGUCUAUGUCAUUAUGCAUAACAUUGAAUCAAUUGAUAGUUCUAGACAUGAAACGAAUAAUGGCUAACGAAUCCACAUGACCAUUGGUUUUCCUAAAAAUAUAGGUGACCAAAAAAUUCAUAUCAAGAGUGGAAGCAACAUAAUCCAACCAUCUAGAUCUAAUCUUCCAAGACACGAUGUUAAUAUUUGAAAAAACAUUGAUCACACAAGUUGAAUCAGUUUCAAUUUAAAGGUUGUUCCACUUAUGCUCUCUAGCAUACUCAAUAACAAACAUAUCUUACAUGAGUUCUGAAACAAAACACUAUCCUCAUCAAAAAAAAUAGCAAAGCUACCCAAGUGAUUAGUAAACUCAUUCCUGAAAAUACCCCAUAACAGCAAAUAGACGGAACACCUAAAGCAAAACCGUCAGUGUUGCAUUUUAUUCAACCUCUACUCGGAGGCUGCCAAAGGAUGUUGAUAGCCUUCUUGGUCUUGGGAGGAUGAAUAGAGACAUGAAGCUUUUUAAGAAUACAAAAAUUCUCCAUGGCUGAAUUGGAAGGUUUGCUGGUAUGAUUUCCAGCAAAAGUAGCUGCCACAGUAAUAGAGGAAACCCAUGAGUUCCAAAUAACCUUCCUACCCUUAAAUCUAUCAAGGUUUCUAGCUUUCCAAAUCUCAGAGAAAAGACACACAAUGGAUGCUUUGAAGGUCACAACAAGCUGAGUAGACUAGUUGGGUUUCAUGGCCAAUAUGCAGUCAUUGAAACAACCCAAAUAUGCAGUCAUUGAUAAUUUUAUUCUUUUAUCCAAUUUUAAAGAUGAACAAGAUUCUUUGCCUCACACUUCUCCAUCUGUUCAACAAUUAGGUAAGGACAAAUGUCAACCAAAAACUCGUCCGUGUGGAUUCAGUGGUUGUUAUCAGUAUCAACAACAUCGUUAUCAAUCAGUAAGUUUUUUUUUUUAAUUUUAAAUAUAAGUAUUUUAUAAUAUUAAUGUAUUAAUUUUUAAAUGAUUAUUAAUUGUGUUACUAUUAUUAUUAUUAUCAUUAUUUUAAUCAAACUAAU
RNAcentral lists this long non-coding RNA (1053 nucleotides) under Lathyrus oleraceus (garden pea). RNAcentral describes it as "Pisum sativum (pea) long non-coding RNA (PSAT_LNC026639)". Lineage: Eukaryota; Viridiplantae; Streptophyta; Magnoliopsida; Fabales; Fabaceae. The record is from RNAcentral.